UGAAAUCUCACCAGGCCCGGACACUGGAAGGAUUGACAGAUUUAUGGCUUAAUUUGACUCAACGCGGGAAAUCUCACCAGGCCCGGACACUGGAAGGAUUGACAGAUUGAUACCUCUUUCUUGAUUCUGUGGGUGGUGGUGCAUGGCCGUUCUUAGUUGGUGGAGUGAUUUGUCUGGUUAAUUCCGAUAACGAAUGAGACUCUGUCCUGCUAAAUAGUGUCUGCUUCUCUUUUGAGCAGACAAUUCUUCUUAGAGGGACAGGCGACUCUUGAGCAAUAA
Molecule: ribosomal RNA, 279 nt
Filed under: uncultured eukaryote
Lineage: Eukaryota
Description: partial 18S ribosomal RNA
Rfam family: Eukaryotic small subunit ribosomal RNA (bases 41-279)
Source: RNAcentral